This 106-nucleotide unclassified non-coding RNA is filed under the name Chryseobacterium soldanellicola. RNAcentral's name for it is "Flavo-1 RNA". The record is from RNAcentral. Lineage: Bacteria; Pseudomonadati; Bacteroidota; Flavobacteriia; Flavobacteriales; Weeksellaceae.
CCCUAGCCACGAUUGCAGCAUUGUUUGAGCUCAUUUUUUUAUUUUCGGCGGCGGCAAAGCCGCCGCCGAAAAUAAAAAAUAGCGAGUGCGGAAAGCGGGAAAAAGC